RNAcentral lists this ribosomal RNA (505 nucleotides) under uncultured bacterium. RNAcentral describes it as "partial 16S ribosomal RNA". It matches the Rfam family "Bacterial small subunit ribosomal RNA", at positions 28 to 507 of the family's 1533-position model. The record is from RNAcentral.
GACGAACGCUGGCGGCGUGCCUAAUACAUGCAAGUAGAACGCACAGUUUAUACCGUAGCUUGCUACACCAUAGACUGUGAGUUGCGAACGGGUGAGUAACGCGUAGGUAACCUGCCUGGUAGCGGGGGGUAACUAUUGGAAACGAUAGCUAAUACCGCAUAAUAUUGAUUAUUGCAUGAUAAUUGAUUGAAAGAUGCUAUUGCAUCACUACCAGAUGGACCUGCGUUGUAUUAGCUAGUAGGUGAGGUAACGGCUCACCUAGGCGACGAUACAUAGCCGACCGGGGAGGGUGAUCGGCCGCACUGGGACUGAGACACGGCCCAGACUCCUACGGGAGGCAGCAGUAGGGAAUCUUCGGCAAUGGACGAAAGUCUGACCGAGCAACGCCGCGUGAGUGAAGAAGGUUUUCGGAUCGUAAAGCUCUGUUGUAAGAGAAGAACGGGUGUGAGAGUGGAAAGUUCACACUGUGACGGUAUCUUACCAGAAAGGGACGGCUAACUACGUG